ACAACACCAGAUUUUGUCUGUACACUUGUACGACUACUACGCCAAGGCUCCUAACUUACACGUUAAGGACCAUUUGCUAGUGUUGUUUGGUUACCACGUUUUUGAUCCUGUCUCUGCCUCAGGAUUAUCCUGUGCCGGAGAACACAGUUUUGUCUCCGUUUGGAUUCCUGUCAGCCUGCCUCUCCAGCCGCUCCACCUAACCUGUCUCCUACAACUCCACCACGGAGUCGGACCCUUUGGAUCCAACCUGCUCCAUGCUCUUGGUUCCAUUGACGAUCCAUGCGGCCUCCAACCCGAGUCAGAUGGGUGACCGCUACUUUAGUCUCCACUCCGGAGCCAUCGCUACUUUCCCUGAGUCGCCGUGUACAACGCCGAAGGCUUUACUCGGGAGAACUACACCCCUUCCCACUAGUCCUGCUCACAUUCAAAUAGAGUGAAUUGAUCUUUAAAGACUUCGAGUGAGUCCGAAAUAUCGUACACUACGACACUAUUACCCUUACGGUGUCAAGCCCUGAGGAUUUGCUCUUUUCAUUUUUGAGCUAUCUUCUGCUGCCACCCCAAUACAAUGAAGGGGAAUGUAAUAUUCAUUAGUGGUGCUCACAGCAUUGAAAUGUUACAUUCAAAAAUGUCAACAGCUACAUCUCUCCAGAAACAAUGUCCCUGUUACUUUGUAAACUCACAACAAAUAUGCUCUGUUUGUCUUCAGUUUUCAUUGGGACAAU
Molecule: long non-coding RNA, 722 nt
Organism: Siniperca chuatsi (mandarin fish)
Lineage: Eukaryota; Metazoa; Chordata; Actinopteri; Centrarchiformes; Sinipercidae
Exons: 2
Source: RefSeq, a predicted model, not a curated record